RNAcentral lists this long non-coding RNA (205 nucleotides) under Elaeis guineensis (African oil palm). RNAcentral's name for it is "long non-coding RNA (EGUI_LNC049422)". The record is from RNAcentral. Lineage: Eukaryota; Viridiplantae; Streptophyta; Magnoliopsida; Arecales; Arecaceae.
AAUUUCAAAUGGUAGGUCGAUACUACAGCGCGGAGGGCAUUGAGGCUAGGUCGGCCGAGUAUUACGUUGUAGGCAGACGGUGCCCUCACUAUCAGAAAAUCCACCAGCGCUCUAGAUUAUUUCGGAUACCGAUCCGCAACUACAGUCAAAGUUAUUACUCCCUCCACUGGCACAGCAUCGCCAGUAAACCCUACCAACGGGGAGC